UUUCCGUAGGUGAACCUGCGGAAGGAUCAUUAACACAAACUGCGGAUGCGGAUGUGCACGUCGCCCCCUAACCGGGGACCCACGAUUGCUGCUGCCGCGCCGCACUUGGAUCCAAUCCAUUUAUCCCUGUGAACUGUUAAAGUCUUUACAUUGUGCUAUUAACGCCGUGUAAUCCGCUUUGACUGAAAUCUAUUUGCUAUGCUCGUGCCUCACGGCGCCUGCCUACGCAAAAAUCCUAACCAGAAACAACUCUUAACAACGGAUAUCUUGGUUCUC
RNAcentral lists this unclassified non-coding RNA (276 nucleotides) under soil metagenome. Its description in RNAcentral is "partial contains small subunit ribosomal RNA, internal transcribed spacer 1, and 5.8S ribosomal RNA". The record is from RNAcentral.